AGCUCUUUAGAGAUAAAAGAGCUCGAAGAUUUUUUGUCUGGGAAGCCUUCGGAAGCUGUUGAAACUCAGGCAGCAGAAGCUGCUCCCGAAGCCGAACCAAUCCCGGAAACAUGUACAGACGAAUUCCAAACUGACGAACCAGAAGCCGAAGAGGUUCCUGUUUCGGAAGAGACUCUCCGCCCUCGCCAGAAGAGGAGGGCGAUCAGAAAACCCAGAACAACACCCUUUCCAACCCCUUCCGAAGCCACCCCAGAAAUCGAGCCAACCACCACGUCCGUCACCCGACGAGGAGGCCUACUCGAUCGUCCUGAUCGAAGAAGCAUCCUCCGCACCAAAAAGCUGAGAAGCAAGAUAACGCCUUUGACUGCCGAAGAGCUUAGGGUGCCCCAAUCUUCGAUCAUACCCCCCUUCGUACCGCCUGUAGAAAUACAGAUUGGCGAAGAAGGUGAUCAGGAUGAAGCUGUCCAAACCCUGUCCAGGAAGAGGAAACGAACACCUGACAGCCACCCAAGCUCUGCAUCGGUCACUCCUCUACAAGAACCCAGUCCAAACAAAUCUCCCUCUCCCGAGACCGUGUACGCUGAACCUGAACCUACUCCUCCCGAGCAACCAGCUCCUUCCCCCGAAAGGUCAAGACCUUCGCCAGAACGAGCAGGUCCUUCAGGUCAGGGCUAUCAUGCCGAGGCCGUGGGAUCUCCGACUAUAUGGCCUAGAUUCAAUGCUAAUUUUCCGUUCGACCUAUUCGGGGCCUUCGUAAGGAACGCUGACGAUCAUAGGUUCAGUGAUCACACGGACGGGAAUUUGCUCGAUGAAGGGAUGAGCUAUUUGGCUAAGGUAAAUAAUCAUUCCUUUAUUUUUCUGUCUUUCUGUCCUUAAUUGUAUAUCUGGAUACUGGCUUGAGUACUGUUCCGAACAUAUGCAGGCUAAUGCUGUCUUUGGACGUUUGCGUCCAAGACACAUAAAUGGGGAAGCCGAGGAAGAUUUCAUGCGACAAGAGAUCAAUAUGCUGAGAUCGACCUUGGCUCGAGAAAGGGCCGAUCGAGAAGACUCUCUUCAAGUCAUCGAUGGCCUCCAACGAGACUUGGAUAGAGCUAAGAUGGAUUUGAGGACGUCUGACGAUGAAGUAAGGGCCACAAGAG
RNAcentral lists this long non-coding RNA (1139 nucleotides) under Panax ginseng (ginseng). RNAcentral describes it as "long non-coding RNA (PGIN_LNC000980)". The record is from RNAcentral. Lineage: Eukaryota; Viridiplantae; Streptophyta; Magnoliopsida; Apiales; Araliaceae.